GUCAUUACUGUGGAGGGGAAGGUACAGGAAGGAGGUAGGGUACAGAACACAUGAUGUAGUAGAGACCUGGCAUUACUGUGGAGGGGAAGGUACAGGAAGGAGGUAGGGUACAGAACACAUGAUGUAGUAGAGACCUGGCAUUACUGUGGAGGGGAAGGUACAGGAAGGAGGUAGGGUACACAACACAUGAUGUAGCAGAGACCUGGCAUUACUGUGGAGGGGAAGGUACAGGAAGGAGGUAGGGUACACAACACAUGAUGUAGCAGAGACCUGGCAUUACUGUGGAGGGGAAGGUACAGGAAGGAGGUAGGGUACACAACACAUGAUGUAGCAGAGACCUGGCAUUACUGUGGAGGGGAAGGUACAGGAAGGAGGUAGGGUACACAACACAUGAUGUAGCAGAGACCUGGCAUUACUGUGGAGGGGAAGGUACAGGAAGGAGGUAGGGUACACAACACAUGAUGUAGUAGAGACCUGGCAUUACUGUGGAGGGGAAGGUACAGGAAGGAGGUAGGGUACACAACACAUGAUGUAGCAGAGACCUGGCAUUACUGUGGAGGGGAAGGUACAGGAAGGAGGUAGGGUACACAACACAUGAUGUAGCAGAGACCUGGCAUUACUGUGGAGGGGAAGGUACAGGAAGGAGGUAGGGUACACAACACAUGAUGUAGCAGAGACCUGGCAUUACUGUGGAGGGGAAGGUAUAGGAAGGAGGUAGGGUACACAACACAUGAUGUAGCAGAGACCUGGCAUUACUGUGGAGGGGAAGGUACAGGAAGGAGGUAGGGUACAGUUUUUCAUUGGGGUUUUGCCUGCUACACAAGUUAUGUUAUAGUCACAGACAUGAUUUAACCAGUUUU
Molecule: long non-coding RNA, 860 nt
Organism: Oncorhynchus keta (chum salmon)
Lineage: Eukaryota; Metazoa; Chordata; Actinopteri; Salmoniformes; Salmonidae
Exons: 5
Source: RefSeq, a predicted model, not a curated record